Molecule: ribosomal RNA, 29 nt
Filed under: Mycothermus thermophilus
Lineage: Eukaryota; Fungi; Ascomycota; Sordariomycetes; Sordariales; Chaetomiaceae
Description: partial 28S ribosomal RNA
Source: RNAcentral
UGACCUCGGAUCAGGUAGGAGGACCCGCU